This 703-nucleotide ribosomal RNA is filed under the name Pseudanabaena sp. SR411. RNAcentral's name for it is "bacterial LSU rRNA". It matches the Rfam family "Bacterial large subunit ribosomal RNA", at positions 1 to 720 of the family's 2925-position model. The record is from RNAcentral. Lineage: Bacteria; Bacillati; Cyanobacteriota; Cyanophyceae; Pseudanabaenales; Pseudanabaenaceae.
AGGUCAAGCUACAAAGGGCUCACGGUGGAUACCUAGGCACAAGAAGGCGAUGAAGGACGUGGUUACCUACGAUAAGCUGCGGGGAGCUGGAAGCAAGCCCUGAUCCGCAGGUUUCCGAAUGGGGCAACCCUAUAUACUGCCCGUUGAAUAAAAUAGACGGGAAAGAGCGAACUCAGCGAAUUGAAACAUCUUAGUAGCUGAAGGAAGAGAAAAUAAAUAAUGAUUUCCUAAGUAGCGGCGAGCGAACGGGAACCAGCCCAAACCAGUUGGCAUGACCGACUGGGGUUAUAGGACAGCAACACUGUACAACAGAGACUAGAUGAAGUGUUUGGAAUGACACGCCAAAGAGAGUGAAAGCCUCGUAAUUAAAAAUCAAAGUUGGCAAGCUGUAUCCUGAGUAGCACGGUACACGAGAAAUUCCGUGUGAAUUCGCGAGGACCACCUCGUAAGGCUAAAUACUCACUUGUGACCGAUAGUGAACCAGUACCGCGAGGGAAAGGUGAAAAGAACCCCGGAAGGGGAGUGAAAUAGAACAUGAAACCGUGAGCUUACAAGCAAUGGGAGGACGAUUUAACGUCUGACCGUGUGCCUGUUGAAGAAUGAGCCGGCGACUUAUAGGCAGUGGCAGGUUAAGGGGAAAAUCCCGAAGCCAAAGCGAAAGCGAGUUUGAUAAGAGCGAUAGUCACUGUUUAUAGACCCGAAC